RNAcentral lists this ribosomal RNA (465 nucleotides) under uncultured bacterium. Its description in RNAcentral is "partial 16S ribosomal RNA". It matches the Rfam family "Bacterial small subunit ribosomal RNA", at positions 338 to 795 of the family's 1533-position model. The record is from RNAcentral.
CCUACGGGAGGCAGCAGUGGGGAAUAUUGCGCAAUGGGCGAAAGCCUGACGCAGCGACGCCGCGUGAGGGAUGAAGGUCUUCGGAUCGUAAAACUCUGUCAGCAGGGAAGAACAGUCACUGUGCUAAUCAGCAGUGCAUUGACGGUACCUGCAAAGGAAGCACCGGCUAACUCCGUGCCAGCAGCCGCGGUAAUACGGAGGGUGCGAGCGUUAAUCGGAAUUACUGGGCGUAAGGCGCUCGUAGGCGGUAUGUCAAGUCAAGGGUGAAAUCCCCGCGCUCAACGUGGGAACUGCCUUUGAAACUGGAAAACUUGAGUGUGUGAGAGGAUAGUGGAAUUCCAGGUGUAGGAGUGAAAUCCGUAGAUAUCUGGAGGAACAUCAGUGGCGAAGGCGACUAUCUGGCACAUAACUGACGCUGAGGAGCGAAAGCGUGGGUAGCAAACAGGAUUAGAUACCCGUGUAGUC